This 257-nucleotide ribosomal RNA is filed under the name uncultured bacterium. Its description in RNAcentral is "partial 16S ribosomal RNA". It matches the Rfam family "Bacterial small subunit ribosomal RNA", at positions 30 to 287 of the family's 1533-position model. The record is from RNAcentral.
AUUGAACGCUGGCGGCAGGCCUAACACAUGCAAGUCGAGCGGAUGAGAAGAGCUUGCUCUUCGAUUCAGCGGCGGACGGGUGAGUAAUGCCUAGGAAUCUGCCUGGUAGUGGGGGACAACGUUUCGAAAGGAACGCUAAUACCGCAUACGUCCUACGGGAGAAAGCAGGGGACCUUCGGGCCUUGCGCUAUCAGAUGAGCCUAGGUCGGAUUAGCUAGUUGGUGAGGUAAUGGCUCACCAAGGCGACGAUCCGUAGC